Long non-coding RNA from Pseudophryne corroboree (corroboree frog), 778 nucleotides. RefSeq lists it as uncharacterized. The transcript is spliced from 4 exons. The record is from RefSeq and is a predicted model, not a curated record. Lineage: Eukaryota; Metazoa; Chordata; Amphibia; Anura; Myobatrachidae.
CAUUCUAUCUACAGCUGCUUAUGUUUCCAGUUUCCAUGCAGGAAGACAGGUAGGAGGAGAUCAUCUGGCAAAGAGAUUUGCAGAGUGUCGGGUGACCGGCAAAGAGAUCUGCAAAGUGUCAGUUGAAGACGACGGGAGGAGUUGCAGAGGAAUUAGUGACUGGAGAAUAGCAUGCAGGAGGUGACACACACUCCCCAGCCGCCCAGGGCAUCGACGCCCCAUCAGGAGGAAGAAGAGGAUCCGGACGGACAACCACCAUAAGCCCGGUCGUAUUGUUUUAUUUACUCUUAUGUUUUUCAUGUAUCCCUUUCUCCCCCUCCCAUUAGUUUUUUUUUCUUUCUUACUAUUGUUUUAUAUUUGUGUUGGGCUCGCCCACCCCUGAACGGAUACUACCAAGGAGCUUUAUGUCUAGGCAUGUAUGCGGGCGCGUGUGGUAACGGAUGAAAGCUCCUUGUGGCUACAUGUAUGAUGGGCCAAAGAGCUAUUCUGAUACCACUUUUUUUUUUAACCAAAAAAAUCCUUUUUGUAUUGGUGUACAAUAGGCUUUCACUGUUAUGUGAAUUUACUAUUCACUAGUGUUUAUUUUUGGCUUAUUCAUAGGAUUGGGUGGAAAAUUGAAGUGGACGGCAUAGUUCGUGUUGUGCGUACCAAGAUAUCUACACAAGAAAAGAAUGUAAAGAAGAACAAACUACUUUUUUGUUUUAUUACAUUUUAUUUUUUAUUUAAAAAAUAAAAUACAAUUUUAUAUAUUUCUUCAAUAAAUUUUUUAAAAUUAGAA